This 296-nucleotide long non-coding RNA is filed under the name Elaeis guineensis (African oil palm). Its description in RNAcentral is "long non-coding RNA (EGUI_LNC067406)". The record is from RNAcentral. Lineage: Eukaryota; Viridiplantae; Streptophyta; Magnoliopsida; Arecales; Arecaceae.
UAUUCUAAAGAAGAAGCUUUUGUCCAGGAUGAUGUUUGUGGAUACAAAGCCUAGGGUGUACUAGAAAGAUGGAAAUUUUGGAAAAUGGUCACCAAGUAAUUGGACUCCCUUGUCAUCAAGGUCUACUGGGUUUAAGAACUCACACUUUGCCGAUGAUACUUUGCUCUUUUAUGUAGCUGACUUGAAUUAAUUGGGCAACUUAUCCUCUAAGGUUUUUAAUUGCUACCAAGUCCUAAGAUUAACUUCUAUAUGAGUUUGAUGAUAGGUUUGGGACUGAGAGAUGACAAAGAAUGUUG